ACCAACAAUUUGUUUCCAAAUUAUAUGUGGACACACCAUGCUAAAAUCUUUAGUUAGUAUCGAUUCUGCGGAACAGCUGAUAAGCAAUUAAAUAAAUUAAAUUCAAAUAUGGCCGGGAUCAAAAAGGAUCGCCAAAAGGACACCAGUGCCGCCAGGCACAGUGGAGCCUGAGGCGCUGAUUCAACGUGCCAUCAAAUGGAGCAUUUCAUGGCAGGGACACUCGGUCUUGCACAAGCUCAUUGGCUACCUUGAGUGUCUCGGUUAGCACGAGCGCGUCUACCUUGAGCGGUCCCUUCAGUGUCUCGGGUAGCACGACCGCGGCUCCUGCUAUUCCGUCGCAGAUCACGAGCCGGGCUCCCUCAAGUGCUGCUGCUAAUCUCUUCGAGAUAGAGACAUUACAGAUCGACGAUGAGCAGAACCAAUCGCGAAGGUAAUGGGAAGGGAUCGCAGGGCCCGCAGAAAGUCAGUAGAUUUUUGGAAUCCCAACGACAAACCCCCGAUAUUUUCGAUUUGCAAAAUGGCACCCGUGCUCACCGGGCACCACCGGGCCUUCAUGCCCCUCGCGGCAUGACAACUCGAUCCCGGGACAACUCGAUCCCGCGCGCAAAUGCUCCUACACGAGCGUCCAUUCCGCAGCGAAUAUUGCAGCAAGUCUAUCGUGACCAGGGCAGACUGCAGGUCCCAUCAAAUACAACACACCAUGAGCCGCGAGCACAGCUGCCACAUCUGCAGGUUAAGAUUUAAGCUAAGGAAUCAUUUUAUGACCCAUCUGAAAUCAGGGGCCCACAGAAGUGCGAGACAAAGGCCCACUUUCUGUUGAAUCAGAGUAUUUCCCAAGGAGCCUAUAACGCCGCCUUCUAUUCUAUGGGAAGGACAUUUUGCGAUCAGAAGAAUGCGGUAUCCAAUGCCAAGAUGUUGAAGGCCCUUGGUGAUUCAUCAGGCAUAUGAUUUUAUAUAUGUACAUAUACUACAUAUGUUAUAUGUAUAACCAAAAAAAAAAAACUAAGCACUCGUGUGGAGAUCUUAGCAUUUCAUCGCAGACUUUGCCCUUGUGAAAAUUUUCCAUGAAGUCAGCAGCGUACACGUGCCCGAAAUGAGGGGCUUUUACUUUUGCAUACAUUCUAGUUUGUUUUGUUUAUUUAAUCAUAUUAUAUCAUGCGAGAGGUAAUCAUAAUUUUCUUUUGUCUGCCGUCUGAGGAGACUGUUCGACUGUUGUACAAUUAAACAAACAUUAUCACAAUCUUA
Molecule: long non-coding RNA, 1245 nt
Organism: Drosophila pseudoobscura
Lineage: Eukaryota; Metazoa; Arthropoda; Insecta; Diptera; Drosophilidae
Exons: 3
Source: RefSeq, a predicted model, not a curated record